RNAcentral lists this ribosomal RNA (458 nucleotides) under uncultured bacterium. RNAcentral describes it as "partial 16S ribosomal RNA". It matches the Rfam family "Bacterial small subunit ribosomal RNA", at positions 338 to 795 of the family's 1533-position model. The record is from RNAcentral.
CCUACGGGAGGCAGCAGUGAGGAAUAUUGGUCAAUGGGCGAGAGCCUGAACCAGCCAAGUCGCGUGAGGGAGUACUGCCCUAUGGGUUGUAAACCUCUUUUGUCGGGGAGCAAAAGCCGGACGUGUCCGGCUGUGAGAGUACCCGAAGAAAAAGCAUCGGCUAACUCCGUGCCAGCAGCCGCGGUACUACGGAGGAUGCGAGCGUUAUCCGGAUUUAUUGGGUUUAAAGGGUGCGCAGGCGGAUUUUUAAGUCAGCGGUAAAAUCGUGGGGCUCAACCCCAUCCAGCCGUUGAAACUGGGGAUCUAGAGUGUGCGAGAGGUAUGCGGAAUGCGUGGUGUAGCGGUGAAAUGCAUAGAUAUCACGCAGAACCCCGAUUGCGAAGGCAGCAUACCGGUGCACAACUGACGCUCAGGCACGAAAGCGUGGGUAUCGAACAGGAUUAGAUACCCUAGUAGUC